Long non-coding RNA from Solea senegalensis (Senegalese sole), 4111 nucleotides. RefSeq lists it as uncharacterized. NCBI's taxonomy places the organism in Eukaryota, Metazoa, Chordata, Actinopteri, Pleuronectiformes, Soleidae. The record is from RefSeq and is a predicted model, not a curated record. The transcript is spliced from 2 exons.
CUAGCUGGCGUUGGUUUGGAGUAGCGAGCAGAGCGAAAAUGGCGUAGGGCGGAGGAGACGAGGAGACCUUCUUCUCCUCUCUGCGGUGGGUAGGAGGAGAAGGAGGUGGAGAGAAGGAGGGGGACCCGGGGAGCCGUCGGUUUUACGGUUUACCGUUUAACUAAAUGUGUCGCGCACCCUCGCGUGCCCUCUUUACAGAACAAACCCAGCGUGUGUCCAGUUUGGCAGAGCUUAAGGAGGAAGAGCCUCCUCUUCCUCCUCCUCCUGGCUUUUGUUUACCAUUACCACAGCCGAAACAUCUCUGCAGCAUUUCGGACCAGCAGCAAGGCUGGCUGUUCCAGUUGUCAUGAAACCAGAUGAAGCCCAGACUGGAGGAACAUCAGCUCCAGCUCCAUCUACAGGUGACUCGCACCACAACCCACAUCUGUGGAGGUAAAGAAUGAACAGUCAGUGACAAGAUGACCUCUUUUGGGGUUUGGGGACACUGGCGUCCUCCUUCCUGCUGUGUCUGGGACGUCGGUCCUCUCUCCUCCACAGCAUCUCCACCCUCUUGUCCUGGCCUGUUUCUGCAGCACGGUCGUCACUGAGGACGUCUGCCAAGGUUUUGGGCCAGUCAUAUUUCCGUCACGCACACGCGACAUCUACAUGUAGUCUAUAGCUGGCUUUAAAACACAUGGAGUCUCAUUAUUUGUCUGAAAGUCUCCAUGAUUUGGGCAUUUUCAGUCAGAUUGGGGUUAAAUUUUGUCUGUUAUCAGGUUGCAUGUAAAUGUAGAAGCAAAAUGGAACUUUGUAUUGAGAUCAAAGCCGUUUUAAAAAUGAACAAAUCAGCUGCUUCGCUUUUUUUCUUUUUCUGAAGACACAAGAUACUGUAGCAAAGAUCAACGCCUGUGAUUAAAUUAGACUCAUGGGGUUUGUUUUCAUCUUUUGCACUACCUCAGUGCCAUGACAAGUCCAACCAGAGUGAAGCAGCACAGUAGUUUUCAAUAGAUUUGGUUUUAAGUGUUAAUAAGUGAGGUCGCCGUCGGGUGAACAUCGAAAAAAACCAAGAAACGACACAAGCACAUGAUGCACACGGUCACAUACUUUUAGAAACACUUUAACUGUUGGCUCCUAUGCAUCUGUUCUAAAGGAAGGUCACGUGUUAGUAUUUUUACUCAUUUUGGGUUUGUAGUGCUCGGUUUCUGUCAGAUCUGCAGGUUUAUUCACACACUGCAAGUAGAGACAUGACUGGUGAUAGAUUUCCCAUAGAUACUCGAGUCCAGAGAUCCUACAAAAAUGGCCUGUUUAGUGUUUAAACUUUGUCCUUUUUUACACAAGUUAAAUCCAACAUAUGUUCUAAAUGCAUCAUUUUCAUGCCGUAGCGUUUUGGCCUGAUUUUCACCUUCAUUUGUCCAUGUUUUAUUGCUGUAAAAAAGAUGUUGUUUUGAAUCAGACUUAACCAUUUUGAUUCCAUUUAUUCCAUGAACCGUGACAAAUUAAUCCAGACAUUAUGUAAACAUUAUGUCCGGAAUUAUAAUGUUUUAUAAGCAUUUCACCCAUGCUUUCCACACGUCAGUAGUGGGCAACACUUAUCUGUGCCCGGGGAGCAAUGUGGGGUUGGGUAGCCUUUGACCUGUCUCGGCUACAAGCCCAAUUCCCUGCCCACAAUUGUCCAGUGUGUCCAGUACAUUGAGAGACACUCGUGCUGACAUAGCACUUGAUUUCUUUUCUCACAUCUGAAAAAACCCUGAUCUCACUUUUUUCGCAUUUCUUUGUGAUUUCUUUAAAAUAUAAAUAUAAAGAUAGAAAUAUCAAAUUUUUCCGGGAUUUGUGCAAUAUUGGAUCCUAACUGUCAUGUUGUUGACCAAACUGUAUAUUGUAUAAACAAGUGACAAGUUGUUUGAAAGCAACAAAAUCACCAAUGUCUUCCAUUAAGAUAUGUAUAGACUCAUGUGCAUAAGCUUAUUUAGCGGGACUGGCGUUAUAGUAGCCAUGCAUGACCAGUAGUGACGCUUGCUUUAAGAAGAAUAGUGAAAUCCAUUUCUAGACUAAGGUGGAGCUCAAAACUGCGGCGGAAAAAUGGUAGUGGCACAUGCUGAGGUGCUUAAUCUUUAAAAGGGGAACUAAACCUUGAAAAUAAUGCUGCGUUUCCAUCAAACGGUAUCAUUCGGUUUGGAAUGGUAAAGGUAGCGUGACCUUGAACGCAACACAACUUUUAAACGUUUCUUAGUGUUAUUUAAAAAUGCCCCGACUGCCAUGGCAUGUCUACGCCGGUCACAAGGGCGUGGCCUUUUUUUCUUUCUGUCGCCCAAUUAGCUGACUGUUGUGGGUGGAGCCAGUCUAGCUCCACCCUGACUGUACCUAGCAUUUUACUCUGGUAACCCAAGGGAAAGGUGCCAAAAAAUUGAGCAGUAGGGGCUGGUUACCAAAAAAAAAAAUUGGUUCCAAACUUGACUGUUCCACUUGAUGGAAACAAAUGCUGAAAAUAGUGGUUUAGUUACACUUUAAAUACAGCACAUAUAGAUGCAGCUUUGUCCUAAAAUCUUUCAGUAAUGCAAGACACAUUCUUUGUUCCAUGUCUAGGUUUGGUAACUGAAAUGCAACUUUAAGUAUAACACAAUCAGCAUAUGCAAUUAUUAAAUGGAUGGAUUUUAGUCGUUUUACACAGGAUUAUAUGCUCAGUGUAAGUUUGUCUUGCAUGUUUUUAGGGUUCCUAUCUUUAGAAAACCUCCUAAAAUAUAUUCAUGCACUCUUUAAAUGUCGAAAGAAUUAGGUUAUCUUUAAGUGACGGCCAAAUGGCUCAUUGAAAUAAGUCUCAGAUGUGACAAUGAAGGAAGACCUUGGUUCUGAUUGGCCUGGACUUGAUGGGGAGUGUUGGUCCCAGAUUGAGGAUCUCAUCAUGACAUCAUAUUGUACAUAAUACCUCAUAGUUUCUGGAUUCAGAGCAUCAUAUUUUUUAAUCCAUAAAAUUGUAUUUGAUUAGAAGUUUUAGAAGCAAUAACGUACAAUAAUGCAUGAGUUUAUUGCCAGGGUGUACAUUUUAAGAGAAUUCUGUAGCGUCACGUGGAGAAGGAACUCCUCCUCUUUCUCUUUUAUGCUUACCGUAGCUCUCAAUCCAUAUGUUAGUCACUUUUCUGAGCGAGGAAACAGCAUCACUAUUGAAGGUUUGGGAUUAUUCCUGCAGAGCUAGGUGAAAUGCGAGUACUGUUGUAGCAUAAAGGGAUCACACUGACAAAUUUAGAUAAAAACAUAUAUUUUUCAGAGGCUAUUUUCCCUGUCUGGUAUUUUUUUCAACAUGACUAAAAUAACCUAAACCAGUCAAUACAUGAGAGAUGCUUUAAAUUUUCAAUUGUAGCAUUUUACUUCCAUAAACCAAACGACUCCUUUUAGGAAAGUAGAUUUUCAGUAGCUGUAGCUGUAACAUACUCACUGAAUGAACUUGAAAAGCACUUUCUCUCCAUGUACUGACGUCCAUCAUCAUCAUCAUCAUCAUCAUCAUCGUCACCACCACCCUGUCUUGAAUACUGUAUACUUAAAAAAACCCUGUAAUGCCCUUUGUGGGGAUUUAUAAUCACAACUUAUAAGCAAGUAGGCGACUAGCAACAUGAAUAAUGUGGGUUUAAAAAUAUGCAUGACUUAGCAGAAUAAUGAAUGAUUUGUAUUGCAUGCAAUAAAACCAGCUUUGUAAUGUGAAUGGGUGUAAUUAGGAUAUUGAAAUAUUCUGAUCAGAUGUCCUGUGAUAAGGUGACAGAGUAGUUUUGAUCAUCAAUUGUGGUUUUUACAGACUUAACAUUGCCCAAAAAAACCAACAAAUAAUGGAGAGUAUUUUAAGUGUUUUUCUUCUGUUAAUUCUCUGCUGUGUCAAAUAUCACUAUGGCAGCGCAACAACAUGUUUGUUUCUGUGAAGAAAAAAAAAAUGAAAUAUAAGUCUAGGUAAAAAGAUAAAUGACAUUGCUUUGUUGAUCAACUUUUCCACUGAGGGAUGGACUGUGUAGAAACUAUGCACUCGAGACAGAGGAAGUGUGCAUGCUUAUUAUGUGUGAGCCUCUUGUCUGGUUUUGUAUUAACUUUAAAAAAAAAAAAAAUCUGUAUCAGAAAUUCAGCAAUAAAAUGCAGCAUGGUGCCAAUUGGA